Molecule: ribosomal RNA, 127 nt
Filed under: Pteropus alecto (black flying fox)
Lineage: Eukaryota; Metazoa; Chordata; Mammalia; Chiroptera; Pteropodidae
Also listed under: 1 other name
Source: RNAcentral
GUCUAAAGCCAUGCUACCCAGAACAAGCCCAAUCCUGUCUGAUUCAUCUCGGAAGCUAAGCAGGGUCGGGCCUGCUUAGUACUUGGAUGGGAGACCGACCACCUAGGAAGACCAGGUGCUGUAGGUG